UACGUAGGGGGCAAGCGUUGUCCGGAAUCAUUGGGCGUAAAGAGCGUGUAGGCGCCAGAAAAGUCCGCUGUGAAAACUCGAGGCUCAACUUCGAGCUGUCGGUGGAAACUUUCUGGCUAGAGUCCGGAAGAGGAGAAUGGAAUUCCUGGUGUAGCGGUGAAAUGCGCAGAUAUCAGGAGGAACACCGGUGGCGAAGGCGGUUCUCUGGGCAUUACCUGACUGGAGGAGCGAAAGCAUGGGGGAGCGAACAGG
This 252-nucleotide ribosomal RNA is filed under the name uncultured bacterium. RNAcentral describes it as "partial 16S ribosomal RNA". It matches the Rfam family "Bacterial small subunit ribosomal RNA", at positions 524 to 776 of the family's 1533-position model. The record is from RNAcentral.